GACGGGGGGUCCUAGCGUUGUUCGGAAUCAUUGGGCGUAAAGCGUGUGCAGGUGGUUUGGUAAGUUGGAUGUGAAAUCCUUGGGCUUAACCCAAGAAGGGCAUUCAAAACUACCAAACUUGAGUAAGGAAGAGGGUCGUGGAAUUCCAGGUGUAGUGGUGAAAUACGUAGAUAUCUGGAGGAACACCGGUGGCGAAGGCGGCGACCUGGUCCUAUACUGACACUCAUACACGAAAGCGUGGGUAGCAAACAGG
This 253-nucleotide ribosomal RNA is filed under the name uncultured bacterium. Its description in RNAcentral is "partial 16S ribosomal RNA". It matches the Rfam family "Bacterial small subunit ribosomal RNA", at positions 524 to 776 of the family's 1533-position model. The record is from RNAcentral.